GCCAGGUGUGGUGGUGCAUGCCUGUAAUCCCAGAUACUCAGGAGGCUGAGGCAGGAGAAUCGCUUGAACCCAGGAACCCAGGAGGCAGAGGGUGCAGUGAGCUGAGAAUGCGCCACUGCACUCCAGCCUGGGUGGCAGAGUGAGACUUUGUCUCAA
RNAcentral lists this non-coding RNA (156 nucleotides) under Homo sapiens (human). Lineage: Eukaryota; Metazoa; Chordata; Mammalia; Primates; Hominidae. The record is from Rfam by way of RNAcentral.